AUACGGAGGGUGCAAGCGUUACUCGGAAUCACUGGGCGUAAAGCGCGCGCAGGCGGCUUGAUAAGUUGGAUGUGAAGGCCUACGGCUCAACCGUAGAACUGCAUCCAAAACUGUCAGGCUAGAGUGUGGGAGAGGAAGAUGGAAUUAGUUGUGUAGGGGUAAAAUCCGUAGAGAUAACUAGGAAUACCAAAAGCGAAGGCAAUCUUCUGGAACACUACUGACGCUGAGGCGCGAAGGCGUGGGGAGCAAACAGGAUUAGAAACCCUGGUAGUCC
This 274-nucleotide ribosomal RNA is filed under the name uncultured bacterium. RNAcentral's name for it is "partial 16S ribosomal RNA". It matches the Rfam family "Bacterial small subunit ribosomal RNA", at positions 523 to 796 of the family's 1533-position model. The record is from RNAcentral.